Long non-coding RNA from Bombus pascuorum, 1929 nucleotides. RefSeq lists it as uncharacterized. The transcript has 2 exons. Lineage: Eukaryota; Metazoa; Arthropoda; Insecta; Hymenoptera; Apidae. The record is from RefSeq and is a predicted model, not a curated record.
CUGUCUAUAUGAUCGUGGUUUAUAUUACUAACUUUCGAGAUAGAAUUCGAGUUUGAUUAUUGCUUUCUUUAAUACAAUUACCUUUAGUUUUAUACAAUUAUUUUAAAUCUUUGGUUUUCUUUUUAUGCAAAUCAUUUGUUGAUUAUACAAAUCACUUCCAAGGAAUAGGAAUUUAUGGACGUCAUGGUAAUUAGUGGUCAAUUCGAAGAUUUUGUAUGCAGAUUUGGAACACGGUUCGAGCACCAGCUGCACGUAACAAAGUUUCCUUCGCUCGUGGGAAGGACCAGUAGAUUGAGAUACAUAUAGAAGAUUUUGCGAGCAGUUUCUUCUUUCGUUAUUAAACUGGUGCAUAUUUGUUGAAGUAGAAUAAAAUUUUGAUGAGUAAUAUUGGUUCAUCAAAUUCAAAGGUCACAGAAACAAUAUUUUCAUACGCGUCAACUUGACAUAUUUGAAAAAUAUUUUUACUGCCUACCAUCGACUACGAAUGUUAUCUUUAAUUUUGAUGAGAUGGAAAUUUUGUGUUAAAGCUUUUAACGGUAUAUACAUUCGAAACUAUUGCGAAGAGUUUUGAAAUGAGGAUGAAGAAAUACAUUUCCUAAGCAUUUUUAAAUAUUUUAUCUGUCUGUCAUUUUUUGCUGAUUUGCAACACAGAUGUUUUCGUCGUAAAUGUUCAUUCAUUUAUGUAUGCAUGAGCUGUUGAAACGACUAUCCGACGUUUAGUAUAAAAAUUCCAAUGUUUGCAUACGAAAUAGUAGGAUUUCGAAUAAUAAAACAAAUUGACGAAUCGUUAAAUUUCAUAGUAACAGACAUGCAUCAUUCGAUCGUGAUAAGAGGAGACGUGACUAAAAAUUCUUCGGGCUCGAAAUGUCAGCGAUAGAUCAACGCCGACGGAGACAAUGGUCCAUUCAUUGCAAGAAUAUGCACGUUUAUCGUUUCCUUUCAAUCGGUAGAUCUGCAUAAUCGACCUUAAUGUACUCUUAUCCAUAAUUCGUCAAAAAAUCAAUCACAAAAGAAGAGGAGAAUCUUUCAACGCGCCAUUUUUUUUACUUUUAUUGAUAAACUAUUCGUGUCUUUUUCAGCUAUGAAAGAGAUCAAACUUCAUCUUUUUUUCUCCUUAAUCCUUUUCUUUUAACUAUAUUUCCUGACUUAAGUAUCGUAGAGAAAAUUGCAAAAGUCUUCGUACCCUUUAUAAGAUUAUCUUUAUUAAAUAAAAUUGCACGUCUUUCGCAGCAAAGUUUGCGUGUUUUAUGCGAAUUAACAGCUUCGCUUUAAAGGUACAAAUUCUCAUAAAAUAUUGGCAUCAGCUAUAUAUCUCUCUGAGAAAUAGCAAGACUGCACAAACAUAAUCUUUUUCUUCUUUCGAAUAUUCUCAUAAAGUAGUGCGUUUUGCUAUAAAACAAUUAUUAUUGCUUCAUGUGUUAAUAAAUCAACACGAAGAUACGACACGUAAUAUUACACGAGCAUACGACUUAGCAUGAAAAUAGCCUUUUCAUAGGAUUUUACAGAACGAAGACUUUCGUGGAAGACCAUAAAAGAUAUUCUAAACAUUACAUUUACGCUUUCACUAUUCUCUCGACUGGCACAAACUCUCUACCCUAUUCUACACAUUUUCUCUGGCCACCAGUGAAGUUUUAAGUCUUCCUGAAAAUUUCACGCUGUGCUUGAGGAAGAAAAAUGGAGGGUAACCGUGAUGGGAGUUCUCGAGCCGCCAGAAGAGCCUAGGACAUUCGAGAAAAAAGAAGAGCCUGGACAGUCGAGGAAAAAGGAGAAGAUCGAGGCUGACUGUGUUCGAAAAACACAGCCGCUGGAAUGCAGGUGUGUUUUGCGCCGCCCGCUUAUUCGCUCGCUCGUUUGCUCGCCGACAUCAUACCUGGCGACACUGAUAAGCCAACCGCUUAUCGAGAUAACUAUGCAACGUUUGGAGAACCA